CGAGUCUUUGAACGCACAUUGCGCCUUUUGGUAUUCCGAGAGGCACGUCUGUUUGAGCGUCAGCGAAACCUUCCGGUCCCCGGUUUUUGUACCGGGGACGCGGGCAUGCUGGCGCAGGGGAUGCGGCCGCCGCGCUUCGGUGCGGGCCUGCCCUCCCCCGCUUAAACUUGGAAGCUAGCGGGCGCUGGCCCGGAUUGCGACGACUCGUAAACUUUACCGUCGAAGGCAUCCGUCCAGACCCGCCUCCAAACACGGGGGGUUCCACCCCCCUUGAAUCUUGACCUCAAAUCAGACGAGGAUACCCGCUGAACUUAAGCAUAUCAAUAAGCGGAGGAAAAGAAACCAACAGGGAUUGCCUCAGUAGCGGCGAGUGAAGCGGCAAAAGCUCAGAUUUGAAAUCCGGUACGGUUUCCGUGCCCGAGUUGUAAUCUGGAGAGGAAGUUCCGGCGAGAUCGGCCGCCCAAGUUCCUUGGAACAGGACGUCUCAGAGGGUGAGAACCCCGUACCCGGCGGCUCGGUUUAGCCAUGUGGAACUCCUUCGACGAGUCGAGUUGUUUGGGAAUGCAGCUCAAACUGGGUGGUAAAUUCCAUCUAAAGCUAAAUAUUGGCGGGAGACCGAUAGCGCACAAGUAGAGUGAUCGAAAGAUGAAAAGCACUUUGAAAAGAGAGUUAAAAAGUACGUGAAAUUGUUGAAAGGGAAGCGCUUGCCAUCAGAACAGGCGCCGGUCGAUCAGCGUUCCUUCUGGUUCGUGCACUCGGCCGGCGGCUUGCCAGCAUCGGUUGCCGCGGCGGGACAAAGGCGGCGGGAACGUGGCUCCCCUCGGGGAGUGUUAUAGCCCGCCGUGUAAUGC
This 851-nucleotide ribosomal RNA is filed under the name uncultured Orbiliaceae. RNAcentral's name for it is "eukaryotic LSU rRNA". The stretch from base 279 to 851 matches the Rfam family "Eukaryotic large subunit ribosomal RNA", at positions 1 to 576 of the family's 3401-position model. Lineage: Eukaryota; Fungi; Ascomycota; Orbiliomycetes; Orbiliales. The record is from RNAcentral.